RNAcentral lists this ribosomal RNA (610 nucleotides) under uncultured bacterium. RNAcentral's name for it is "bacterial SSU rRNA". It matches the Rfam family "Bacterial small subunit ribosomal RNA", at positions 338 to 947 of the family's 1533-position model. The record is from RNAcentral.
CCUACGGGAGGCAGCAGUGAGGAAUAUUGGACAAUGGGCGCAAGCCUGAUCCAGCCAUGCCGCGUGCAGGAAGACGGGUCCUAUGGAUUGUAAACUGCUUUUGUACAGGAAGAAACACUCCCUCGUGAGGGAGCUUGACGGUACUGUAAGAAUAAGGAUCGGCUAACUCCGUGCCAGCAGCCGCGGUAAUACGGAGGAUCCAAGCGUUAUCCGGAAUCAUUGGGUUUAAAGGGUCCGUAGGCGGUUUAAUAAGUCAGUGGUGAAAUCUGGUCGCUCAACGAUCAAACGGCCAUUGAUACUGUUAGACUUGAAUUAUUAGGAAGUAACUAGAAUAUGUAGUGUAGCGGUGAAAUGCUUAGAUAUUACAUGGAAUACCAAUUGCGAAGGCAGGUUACUACUAAAUGGAUUGACGCUGAUGGACGAAAGCGUGGGGAGCGAACAGGAUUAGAUACCCUGGUAGUCCACGCCGUAAACGAUGGAUACUAGCUGUUGGGCGCAAGUUCAGUGGCUAAGCGAAAGUGAUAAGUAUCCACCUAGGGGAGUACGUUCGCAAGAAUGAAACUUAAAGGAAUUGACGGCNGAGAGNGACGAGACGACGACGAGGAGGAGG